AGCCCUGCUCCAGGGUGGCCUGGUGCCCGCCCCUCCGUGCGCGCUGCCCCCAUUCAGCGGCCGACACCUGCCAUCCCACCGCCGGAUUCUCUUCCCAGCUCCUGCUCCUUCUCUUCCCUUAGGCCUUCGUCCCGGUGCCACCUCAGGAGAGGCGCUCCCGGCCGCCUGACUCGCCACCCCAGUCCUCUGCACCCCGGUGCCCAGCUCGCUGCUCCAUCACCCUGCUCAUUUAUCUGUGCGCGCCUGAGUGUCCCGCCGCACGCCGUCUGCUCCCGUGUACCCACACCUGGCCCUGCACCCCGGACAGGUUCCUGUGAAGGGUAUCACCUCGCAAGGCCCCAGGGUUCCUCAGGAGUCUGUGCGCUGUGACCGUUCCUCAGCCCUCUCUUGCUUCUGUGACCUUAACACCUUUGAGGAGCGCUGCUCUGUGACGGAAAGAACAUGAUUUACUUGCUCCGUCAAUAUCUCUUUUGAGUUCCACGAGGCUUGCUCAUCACGAUUCUAAAUCAUCGAGAAUCUCAAAGAAAGGAGGAAAGGAUAAAACUUAAAAGAAGAUAGAUCGUCUACACUGAGUUGAGAAAAGUUGCUACAAAGAGAGAACGUCUAGCGGACUCUAAUCCCCCAGUGGAAAGAGGACCCAGCCAUGGCAGGGUUAAGUGCUGCAGGGAUUUCCGGACAGGACUGCAGGGACCCUCGAAUCCCCGCCCCCUCAGCCAUCCAAGCAAUGGGAGCCUCAGAGGCAAGCCAAAUAAUAUCCAAGGAAACCCGGGCUCAGGUUUCAGCAUCUGGAGGAAACGUGAGAUUUUGUUUGGUGACUUGAUAAAGUGGACGCAGGCUUAGCCAGAGGUGGAUAUGUUGGAAGCCCAAGUCAAAGGCUGUUCCUGUUCAGGAGGGAGCAGAUGCCAGACCUGAUUUUUAUUUCUAGACCAAACUCUUUGUGACAAAGCCUCAUGAGCUUGGAAGAGCAAUUUUCCUUCUUCAAACUCUGAGUGCCUAUCACCUCCAUGUCCCUCUCCCUCUCCCUCCCUCCUCCCCCACUUCCCACCACCAGUCUUUUCUUUUCCAUAAUAAAACAGCAAUGUAAUCAG
Fukomys damarensis (Damara mole-rat) is the source of this 1088-nucleotide long non-coding RNA. RefSeq lists it as uncharacterized. NCBI's taxonomy places the organism in Eukaryota, Metazoa, Chordata, Mammalia, Rodentia, Bathyergidae. The transcript has 6 exons. The record is from RefSeq and is a predicted model, not a curated record.